UCACUUAAGCUAGUUACUGGAGAGAAACGAGAUCCUACAUGUACCACCGCGGUCAGCUCUCAGCUGCACUGUGCCAGAUCUCCAUUGUUAUUUAGUCAUUAUGCAAUGAUGCACCAUUAGUCAUGAUGCAAGUCAUUAUGCCCUAAGUUCCUUCAGAAACAGAAUUCUCUUCCAAGCCCAAGCAAAAAGCCUGUUUUCUCUGUUUCCUUCCUCUGGUUUGACCCUUAACUCCACCGUUUCCUCUGCUUUUUUCUGUAGUCUCCACAUUAGUCUGCUCAACCCUUCUAUAUGCAUCUCUUCCAUGUUUUGGUGACACUUUUACUCAGGCCUUUUAGAUCUGAGGUUCCCAAAAUGGCCAAGUAAACUUCUGAAAGGACUGUAUCUACACUGCAGGAUAUCGUGCUGCAUGGCAAUAGUUGCAGUGCAUUUAUCCUUGCACAGACAGAAGCAUGACAGGAGAGGAGAGGAGAGGAGACGUCAAAGAGAUGCUGCCAAACAGAGGAAUAUGGAUUUCCUGCUCCCCUCCCUGAAGGAUAUUUUUGAGAAGAUGUGAGGUUUUGCAAUGCACAAAUAUAUUAGCAGUGCAAAGCAAACAGGAAAGGCUGUGACAUUUGCUGAAGUUCUCCUAAACUAGCUUGGUUUGUGUGUAGAGGGGGAGAAGGAUUUGGGGGAUGGCAGCUUGCCCUAAAAUGCACACAUUUUACAGGUUGUCCUCUGUGCUUCCCCAGUAACAUCUCUUCCAUCUACUGCAACCCAGAGAAUAAUGUGCUCUCAAUCAAAAAAAUGAAAAUACAAAA
This is a long non-coding RNA of Columba livia (rock pigeon), 797 nucleotides long. RefSeq lists it as uncharacterized. The transcript has 2 exons. Lineage: Eukaryota; Metazoa; Chordata; Aves; Columbiformes; Columbidae. The record is from RefSeq and is a predicted model, not a curated record.